UUUGCUUAGUUAGAAAGGAAACUGGAACUUUUUGGUGUACAACCUUAACUUUUGAAAUUGGUAUCAGGUACAGAAUCCCCAUGUUACCUCACAAAGCCACAGUCCAGGUGAAAGUGUGAAAAGACUAUGGGAUUGGCUUACUGUGGUUAUUCCUGUGGUUUAUACCUCAAACUAACAAUUCUCCCUGAAUCCCACAUCAAGUCUGCUGCCUGCUGAGUCAUCUGGCCUCUUUGACAGCACCCAUCAGUCUUUAUAAAGGCUUCCUUAUAUAAUAUUUAUAAAGAAAGGGGCUGGGCGCUGUGGCUCACACCUGUAAUCCCAGCACUCUGGGAGGGCAAGGUGGGUGGAUCAUGAGGUCAGGAGAUUGAGACCAUCCUGGGUAAUACGGUGAAACCCCGUCUCUACUAAAAAUACAAAAAAAUUAGCAGGGUGUGGUGGCAGGCACCUGUAGUCCCAGCUACUCAGGAGGCUGAGGCAGGAGAAUGGCGUGAACACGGGAGGCAGAGCUUGCAGUGAGCCGAGAUUGCACCACUGCACUCCAGCCUGGGAGACAGAGCAAGACUCUGUCUCAAAAAAAAAAAAAAAGGGGGGUGCAGUUUGCAGGCCAGUGGACUAAUGCACCCUCACCAUAUAGCCCCACAGAAAUUGGUCUGCCAUGGAGCUCUAAAGAACUCAUAAUUUCUCCAAAAGGACCAUCUUUCUACACCUAUGCAAUUGUUCAAGAUCAAGGGUCAGCAAACUGUGGUCCACAGGCCAGUUGCAUAUUUAUGCACAUAAAGUUUUAUUGGAACAUAGCCAUAGCCAUUUAUUCACAUAGUGUGUAUGGCUGCUUUUGUGUACAAUGGCAGAGUUGCAAAUCCUAAAAUAUUUACUGCUUGGCCCUUCAAGAAAAAGUUUCCUGACCCCUGUUUUAGUUAGUUCUGGAAUGAUGAGCAUGUGUGGAAAAUCCUCGGGUUGAUGCAGAAGCUUAGUGGCUGCACAGUAGUGAUACAUUGUUUUCCCAGGCUAUUUUAUUGUUUCUUAAUUUCUUAAUCACUUUGUGGAUUAAAUUCAUGGCCAGAAGUAACUCAGACAU
This 1075-nucleotide long non-coding RNA is filed under the name Homo sapiens (human). RNAcentral describes it as "HSALNT0031200". The record is from RNAcentral. Lineage: Eukaryota; Metazoa; Chordata; Mammalia; Primates; Hominidae.